This 593-nucleotide ribosomal RNA is filed under the name uncultured fungus. Its description in RNAcentral is "eukaryotic LSU rRNA". The stretch from base 226 to 379 matches the Rfam family "5.8S ribosomal RNA". Lineage: Eukaryota; Fungi. The record is from RNAcentral.
UUUAGAGGAAGUAAAAGUCGUAACAAGGUCUCCGUAGGUGAACCUGCGGAGGGAUCAUUACACAAAUAUGAAGGCGGGCUGGAACCUCUCGGGGUUACAGCCUUGCUGAAUUAUUCACCCUUGUCUUUUGCGUACUUCUUGUUUCCUUGGUGGGUUCGCCCACCACUAGGACAAACAUAAACCUUUUGUAAUUGCAAUCAGCGUCAGUAACAAAUUAAUAAUUACAACUUUCAACAACGGAUCUCUUGGUUCUGGCAUCGAUGAAGAACGCAGCGAAAUGCGAUAAGUAGUGUGAAUUGCAGAAUUCAGUGAAUCAUCGAAUCUUUGAACGCACAUUGCGCCCUUUGGUAUUCCAAAGGGCAUGCCUGUUCGAGCGUCAUUUGUACCCUCAAGCUUUGCUUGGUGUUGGGCGUCUUGUCUCUAGCUUUGCUGGAGACUCGCCUUAAAGUAAUUGGCAGCCGGCCUACUGGUUUCGGAGCGCAGCACAAGUCGCACUCUCUAUCAGCAAAGGUCUAGCAUCCAUUAAGCCUUUUUUUCAACUUUUGACCUCGGAUCAGGUAGGGAUACCCGCUGAACUUAAGCAUAUCAAUAAG